RNAcentral lists this ribosomal RNA (998 nucleotides) under Buchnera aphidicola (Prociphilus erigeronensis). RNAcentral's name for it is "bacterial SSU rRNA". It matches the Rfam family "Bacterial small subunit ribosomal RNA", at positions 329 to 1320 of the family's 1533-position model. The record is from RNAcentral. Lineage: Bacteria; Pseudomonadati; Pseudomonadota; Gammaproteobacteria; Enterobacterales; Erwiniaceae.
CGUCAGAUUCUACGGGAGGCAGCAGUGGGGAAUAUUGCACAAUGGGCGAAAGCCUGAUGCAGCUAUACCGCGUGUAUGAAGAAGGCCUUAGGGUUGUAAAGUACUUUCGUUGGGGAGGAAAAAUAAAUAGAUAAUACCUGUUUAUCGUGACGUUACCCAAAAAAGAAGCACCGGCUAACUCCGUGCCAGCAGCCGCGGUAAUACGGAGGGUGCAAGCGUUAAUCAGAAUUACUGGGCGUAAAGAGCUCGUAGGCGGUUUUUUAAGUCAGAUGUGAAAUCCCUGGGCUUAACCUAGGAACUGCAUUUGAAACUAAAAGACUAGAGUAUCGUAGAGGGAGGUAGAAUUCUAGGUGUAGCGGUGAAAUGCGUAGAUAUCUGGAGGAAUACCUGUGGCGAAAGCGGCCUCCUAAAUGAAUACUGACGCUGAGGUGCGAAAGCAUGGGGAGCAAACAGGAUUAGAUACCCUGGUAGUCCAUGCCGUAAACGAUGUCGACUUGGAGGUUGUUUCCUUGAGAAGUGACUUCCGAAGCUAACGCGUUAAGUCGACCGCCUGGGGAGUACGGUCGCAAGGCUAAAACUCAAAUGAAUUGACGGGGGCCCGCACAAGCGGUGGAGCAUGUGGUUUAAUUCGAUGCAACGCGAAAAACCUUACCUGGUCUUGACAUCCACAGAAUUUUUCAGAGAUGAAAAAGUGCCUUAGGGAACUGUGAGACAGGUGCUGCAUGGCUGUCGUCAGCUCGUGUUGUGAAAUGUUGGGUUAAGUCCCGCAACGAGCGCAACCCUUAUCCUCUGUUGCCAUUGGUUCGGCCAGGAACUCAGAGGAGACUGCCGGUUAUAAACCGGAGGAAGGCGGGGACGACGUCAAGUCAUCAUGGCCCUUACGACCAGGGCUACACACGUGCUACAAUGGUGUAUACAAAGAGAAGCAACUCUGUAAAGACAAGCAAACCUCAUAAAGUACAUCGUAGUCCGGACUGGAGUCUGCAACUCGACUCACA